This 1562-nucleotide ribosomal RNA is filed under the name Staphylococcus aureus. RNAcentral describes it as "partial 23S ribosomal RNA". It matches the Rfam family "Bacterial large subunit ribosomal RNA", at positions 1 to 1561 of the family's 2925-position model. The record is from RNAcentral. Lineage: Bacteria; Bacillati; Bacillota; Bacilli; Caryophanales; Staphylococcaceae.
GAUUAAGUUAUUAAGGGCGCACGGUGGAUGCCUUGGCACUAGAAGCCGAUGAAGGACGUUACUAACGACGAUAUGCUUUGGGGAGCUGUAAGUAAGCUUUGAUCCAGAGAUUUCCGAAUGGGGAAACCCAGCAUGAGUUAUGUCAUGUUAUCGAUAUGUGAAUACAUAGCAUAUCAGAAGGCACACCCGGAGAACUGAAACAUCUUAGUACCCGGAGGAAGAAAAAGAAAAUUCGAUUCCCUUAGUAGCGGCGAGCGAAACGGGAAGAGCCCAAACCAACAAGCUUGCUUGUUGGGGUUGUAGGACACUCUAUACGGAGUUACAAAGGACGACAUUAGACGAAUCAUCUGGAAAGAUGAAUCAAAGAAGGUAAUAAUCCUGUAGUCGAAAAUGUUGUCUCUCUUGAGUGGAUCCUGAGUACGACGGAACACGUGAAAUUCCGUCGGAAUCUGGGAGGACCAUCUCCUAAGGCUAAAUACUCUCUAGUGACCGAUAGUGAACCAGUACCGUGAGGGAAAGGUGAAAAGCACCCCGGAAGGGGAGUGAAAUAGAACCUGAAACCGUGUGCUUACAAGUAGUCAGAGCCCGUUAAUGGGUGAUGGCGUGCCUUUUGUAGAAUGAACCGGCGAGUUACGAUUUGAUGCAAGGUUAAGCAGUAAAUGUGGAGCCGUAGCGAAAGCGAGUCUGAAUAGGGCGUUUAGUAUUUGGUCGUAGACCCGAAACCAGGUGAUCUACCCUUGGUCAGGUUGAAGUUCAGGUAACACUGAAUGGAGGACCGAACCGACUUACGUUGAAAAGUGAGCGGAUGAACUGAGGGUAGCGGAGAAAUUCCAAUCGAACCUGGAGAUAGCUGGUUCUCUCCGAAAUAGCUUUAGGGCUAGCCUCAAGUGAUGAUUAUUGGAGGUAGAGCACUGUUUGGACGAGGGGCCCCUCUCGGGUUACCGAAUUCAGACAAACUCCGAAUGCCAAUUAAUUUAACUUGGGAGUCAGAACAUGGGUGAUAAGGUCCGUGUUCGAAAGGGAAACAGCCCAGACCACCAGCUAAGGUCCCAAAAUAUAUGUUAAGUGGAAAAGGAUGUGGCGUUGCCCAGACAACUAGGAUGUUGGCUUAGAAGCAGCCAUCAUUUAAAGAGUGCGUAAUAGCUCACUAGUCGAGUGACACUGCGCCGAAAAUGUACCGGGGCUAAACAUAUUACCGAAGCUGUGGAUUGUCCUUUGGACAAUGGUAGGAGAGCGUUCUAAGGGCGUUGAAGCAUGAUCGUAAGGACAUGUGGAGCGCUUAGAAGUGAGAAUGCCGGUGUGAGUAGCGAAAGACGGGUGAGAAUCCCGUCCACCGAUUGACUAAGGUUUCCAGAGGAAGGCUCGUCCGCUCUGGGUUAGUCGGGUCCUAAGCUGAGGCCGACAGGCGUAGGCGAUGGAUAACAGGUUGAUAUUCCUGUACCACCUAUAAUCGUUUUAAUCGAUGGGGGGACGCAGUAGGAUAGGCGAAGCGUGCGAUUGGAUUGCACGUCUAAGCAGUAAGGCUGAGUAUUAGGCAAAUCCGGUACUCGUUAAGGCUGAGC